GAUGAACGCUGGCGGCGUGCCUAACACAUGCAAGUCGAGCGAAGCACUUACUUUAGAUUUCUUCGGAAUGACGAAGUUUGUGACUGAGCGGCGGACGGGUGAGUAACGCGUGGGCAACCUGCCCUGUACAGGGGGAUAACAGUUAGAAAUGACUGCUAAUACCGCAUAAGCCCACAGCUUCGCAUGAAGCAGUGGGAAAAACUCCGGUGGUACAGGAUGGGCCCGCGUCUGAUUAGCUAGUUGGUAAGGUAACGGCUUACCAAGGCGACGAUCAGUAGCCGACCGGAGAGGGGGACCGGCCACAUUGGGACUGAGACACGGCCCAAACUCCGACGGGAGGCAGCAGUGGGGAAUAUUGCACAAUGGGGGAAACCCUGAUGCAGCGACGCCGCGUGAGCGAUGAAGUAUUUCGGUAUGUAAAGCUCUAUCAGCAGGGAAGAAAGUGACGGUACCUGACGAAGAAGCCCCGGCUAACUACGUG
RNAcentral lists this ribosomal RNA (481 nucleotides) under uncultured bacterium. Its description in RNAcentral is "partial 16S ribosomal RNA". It matches the Rfam family "Bacterial small subunit ribosomal RNA", at positions 28 to 507 of the family's 1533-position model. The record is from RNAcentral.